AGGAAGAGGAGGAGGUGGCGGUGCUGUUUUCCAGGGACGGCGCCGCUGGACCUUGCGGUUUGGCCCUCGGCCGCAAUGGCUUAGACCUCCUGGUGACCGGGCGGGGAACGGUUUCACUUCCCCACAGAAACUUACUCGACAUUCCUGAAUAAAUUCGAGGAGUUACGAUCCACGGUUCCUCGAGAGGAAACGGUUUCUAAAUCGGAAGCCCCUUUGCGGGGUGCCUUGCGGGUCGCACGAAGUCCGGCGCCUCCCGAUCCCAUGUAAAUAACAACAUCCCAAAUUAAAGAUGCCUCUCUGUGGAGCCUGA
This is a long non-coding RNA of Ornithorhynchus anatinus (platypus), 310 nucleotides long. RefSeq lists it as uncharacterized. The transcript has 2 exons. NCBI's taxonomy places the organism in Eukaryota, Metazoa, Chordata, Mammalia, Monotremata, Ornithorhynchidae. The record is from RefSeq and is a predicted model, not a curated record.